GACGAACGCUGGCGGCGUGCUUAACACAUGCAAGUCGAACGGAAAGGCCCCCACCUUGGUGGGGGUGCUCGAGUGGCGAACGGGUGAGUAACACGUGGGUGAUCUGCCCUGUACUUCGAGAUAAGCUUGGGAAACUGGGUCUAAUACCGGAUAGGACCAUGGUUUAGUGUCUCAUGGUGGAAAAAUUAUUGUUUUGGUGCAGGAUGAGCUCGCGGCCUAUCAGCUUGUUGGUGGGGUAAUGGCCUACCAAGGCGUCGACGGGUAGCCGGCCUGAGAGGGUGGACGGCCACAUUGGGACUGAGAUACGGCCCAGACUCCUACGGGAGGCAGCAGUGGGGAAUAUUGCACAAUGGGCGCAAGCCUGAUGCAGCGACGCCGCGUGGGGGAUGACGGCCUUCGGGUUGUAAACUCCUUUCGUUAGGGACGAAGCCACACCUUUUUUGGGUGUGGUGACGGUACCUUUGUUAAGAAGCACCGGCUAACUACGUG
Molecule: ribosomal RNA, 489 nt
Filed under: uncultured bacterium
Lineage: Bacteria
Description: partial 16S ribosomal RNA
Rfam family: Bacterial small subunit ribosomal RNA
Source: RNAcentral